RNAcentral lists this ribosomal RNA (256 nucleotides) under Escherichia coli. Its description in RNAcentral is "partial 23S ribosomal RNA". It matches the Rfam family "Bacterial large subunit ribosomal RNA", at positions 230 to 524 of the family's 2925-position model. The record is from RNAcentral. Lineage: Bacteria; Pseudomonadati; Pseudomonadota; Gammaproteobacteria; Enterobacterales; Enterobacteriaceae.
CGAGAUUCCCCCAGUAGCGGCGAGCGAACGGGGAGCAGCCCAGAGCCUGAAUCAGUGUGUGUGUUAGUGGAAGCGUCUGGAAAGGCGCGCGAUACAGGGUGACAGCCCCGUACACAAAAAUGCACAUGCUGUGAGCUCGAUGAGUAGGGCGGGACACGUGGUAUCCUGUCUGAAUAUGGGGGGACCAUCCUCCAAGGCUAAAUACUCCUGACUGACCGAUAGUGAACCAGUACCGUGAGGGAAAGGCGAAAAGAAC